This 1089-nucleotide ribosomal RNA is filed under the name Triticum aestivum (bread wheat). RNAcentral's name for it is "partial small subunit ribosomal RNA". The record is from RNAcentral. Lineage: Eukaryota; Viridiplantae; Streptophyta; Magnoliopsida; Poales; Poaceae.
AUGGCCAAUUGGGAGGAAGCAUACAACCGACUCCCUAGGUUAUUGUUAGCUAUGGCCGCCACAAAUCCAGGCAUGGUUCACGUGGUUGAGCCUCAUGGGCACCAAACAUUGAUUCAUAACGGGAGGACCAUCCGAGUAUUUGGCCGUGCAUUUUGGGCCUUUGAGCAAUGCGUGAGGGCUUUUGAGCAUUGUCGGCCCGUUAUCGCCAUUGAUGGCACGUUCUUGACCGGACAAUACAAGGGCACUUUAUUGGUUGCAAUAGCAAGUGAUGCCAAUAACCGGGUGUUGCCUUUGGCUUUCGCUUUGGUUGAGGUGGAGAACAAUGAUAAAUGGGAGUGGUUCUUGCAUCAAUUGAGAACAAGGGUAUUACCGACUGAAAGGGAAAUUUGUGUCAUAUUGGAUCGCCAUCCAGGAAUUCUAAACGCGGUGGUGGUUGACAUUCCCAGACAUACAAAGUUGCACCAUCGAUGGUGCAUGAGGCACUUUUGUGCAAACUUCUAUAGGGCAUGUGGUAUCAAGGAGUUGGCCGAUGAUCUUCAAGAUUGUUGUCUCGCUUUCACCAACAAGCGGUUUGCCACAUUGUUCAAUGCAUUGCUCAGACACAAGAAACUUGACCCCGGUGGUCUUGAAUUUCUGAAUAGGAACAUUGUCGAAAGGAAUAUGUGGGCACGUGCUUUUGAUGAAGAUGGCCGGAGGUACGGUCAAAUGACAAGCAAUAUGGCAGAAUGCUUCAAUAAGGUGCUCAAGGGUGUACGUGCAUUACCCGUGACGGCAAUAGUUCAAUGCACAUUUGACAAGAUGAAUGGAUACUUUUUAAAGUACUCAAUGGAGACGGAUAAGCAGAUUGCUGGUGAGAACAAGGAUAAGCACAAGUACUAUUUCCCACCAAAGGUUGAAGAAUGGUUGGACUUUCAAUCACGAAAGGCAGACUCCCAAGAAGCUGUACUAUAUGACGACAACGAGUGGAAGUAUGAGGUCAAAGAGCCUGGAGUGUUUGUUCAAAUUGUUGUGAUGCUGCAGUCAUUUAAGUCAAAGUGCAGCGCCCAGAACACAGGCGCUGCACUAUACUGUGCAGCGCCCAAGGGAUAG